GACGAACGCUGGCGGCGUGCCUAAUACAUGCGAGUAGAACGCUGAAGGCGGAGCUUGCUCUUCUGGAUGAGUUGCGAACGGGUGAGUAACGCGUAGGUAACCUGCCUGGUAGCGGGGGAUAACUUUUGGAAACGAUAGCUAAUACCGCAUAAGAGUAGAUGUUGCAUGACAUUUACUUAAAAGUUUCAAUUGCAUCACUACCAGAUGGGCCUGCGUUGUAUUAGCUAGUUGGUGGGGUAACGGCUUACCAAGGCGACGAUACAUAGCCGACCUGAGAGGGGGAUCGGCCACACUGGGACUGAGACACGGCCCAGACUCCUACGGGAGGCAGCAGUAGGGAAUGUUCGGCAAUGGACGGAAGUCUGACCGAGCAACGCCGCGUGAGUGAAGAAGGUGUUCGGAUCGUAAAGCUCUGUUGUAAGAGAAGAACGGGUGUGAGAGUGGAAAGUGCACACUGUGACGGUAUCUUACCAGAAAGGGACGGCUACCUAGGU
This 494-nucleotide ribosomal RNA is filed under the name uncultured bacterium. RNAcentral describes it as "partial 16S ribosomal RNA". It matches the Rfam family "Bacterial small subunit ribosomal RNA", at positions 28 to 506 of the family's 1533-position model. The record is from RNAcentral.